AUAAAGUUCAUGUGAUUACGAAUCUAACGCAAUUUGAAUGGGUCAAAUCGGAGUUAAAACAAAUAUUUUAUAAGCUAAACAAUGCAGUGGCAGAACUGUAAAUACUGCAAAGUAUAAGCGAAUUAAAAUAAAUACAGAAAAUUCAGGAAAUCCACCGGCCAGGGACUGCGGGCAUGAUUAACUGAAAGCCGCGGGUCUCUUUAGCAAAAAGACCCGCGAAGGGGUAUGAAUUGAUUCUGGCCAUCGAUCCCGCGAUGGAUGGCCAGGAUUAGAUCAGGGGGAAGAGGGGGAGGCGCCGCUGGCCGGAACAGGGCUCUCACGACGGCGCGCCAUGGUCGGCGUUGAAGAGCUCGCCGGCGUUUGGCGAUAUGGCGCUGUGGUGCUUGGUUUUCAAAUCUGAGAGGACCGGGAGAGAGAGAAUGGCAAGGCGAACACGCCAGGACCCUAAGCACGGCCGGGGAAGGCAAUCUCCGCGGCGGUUCGCGACGGUGCCAAGACCCGCUCGCCGGAGCUUGAAGAAACGGACCUACGAUGCACCAUAAGGCUCGGGAAGUGGACGGGGAGAGAGCGGAGAUGAAGGCGAGUUCACCGCGGCGAAGAACGUGGGCGGAGGCGGCUCGAAUCGACGGUGAGGUGCGCGGUGAAUCUCGGCGGCUUCGGUGGUGUUCUCCGUGCGCUUGAGCGAGAACAAAGGCAGGGGGAGAGAGCAGAAUGGGCGCGGCAGGUGACACGCCUUGGUUAAUAAAAUAUUUAAAAAAAACAUAAAAUAUUUAAAAAAACAUAAAAUAAUUUGUGCCUACUUUAACCUCUGCCCCGUGUGCUAUGCACCAGAUACAUGCAAAAACAUAAUAAAAUUAUUUGGUUUUAACGAAUCAACUUUUGGGUUUGAUUCUUUUCACAAUCAAAAUUUUAAUUUUCUUUGCACUAAAUAUAUGAUAGUAAGCUUAUUAUUUUGGACUAACUAAAGUAUGUCAAAUUUAAAAACAUACAUUGUGACGGUCCAAAAAAACCGUCACGACUUAGUGGGCCGGGAAUAUCCACUCCUGUACAUCUAUGACAGAAAAAAAAUUAUCGUCACAGAUUGCAUCUGUCAGUGACGGUUUGUAAAUCCGUCAUCUAAAAUCCGUCACAGAUUAACAAGUUUCUUGUAGUGC
Molecule: long non-coding RNA, 1154 nt
Filed under: Sorghum bicolor (sorghum)
Lineage: Eukaryota; Viridiplantae; Streptophyta; Magnoliopsida; Poales; Poaceae
Description: long non-coding RNA (SBIC_LNC011712)
Source: RNAcentral